CUACUUACAAAGAUAUUGGCAUGAGUUCUUCUAGUUUGUUCGAGUUGGAGUUAAUUUUUUUAAAAAGAAAGAUUGAUUUAGGAAUUGUCUAAAUGAUUGCAAGAUAAAUCUAAGGUUAACUCCAAUUAAUUCUUGACAUGUUAGAUUCUUGAGGAGUGAUGAAGCUUAUGCAAUGAAUUCAAAUAUAGAAAGUGAAUCAAGAUUUAAUUUUGAUGUGCUAUGCUUAAGGGG
This 231-nucleotide long non-coding RNA is filed under the name Elaeis guineensis (African oil palm). RNAcentral's name for it is "long non-coding RNA (EGUI_LNC019438)". Lineage: Eukaryota; Viridiplantae; Streptophyta; Magnoliopsida; Arecales; Arecaceae. The record is from RNAcentral.